Molecule: long non-coding RNA, 481 nt
Filed under: Pseudonaja textilis
Lineage: Eukaryota; Metazoa; Chordata; Lepidosauria; Squamata; Elapidae
Description: lncRNA (ENSPTXG00000010128.1)
Source: RNAcentral
UGCGUGUGCAACGGACUGGGCAGGCACGGCUAGCCGUGACGCCUCGGCUGGAAGGGAGAAACCGCCAGAGCCAGAAGAGAAAUGUUGUCAUCUGAAAGGAAAUCUGAUCUUUCUAAUGAAAAGUAAGAAAAAAGAAUUUCAGCCUGGAGAUCCAGAUCUUUAUCUUAAAGACUGCCUGCCUGUGAAUCUUGGGCUGUGGCACCCAACAAAUUCUGAAGAACUGUGAAUUCAAAUUUGUCAGGUUGAGAGAUUGAUCAUGGAUAUCAAGGAAGAAGGGGCACCAGAGGAAGAACAGCGCUUUAUUCCAUCUGCACAAGCAGAUAGUUAUGUGGAGUCUAAACUCACAAGUAAGUAAAUUCAUCAUGUAAGCUAUCUGCUGUAUAAUGAUCCUGUGGAUGGUGUUAGAAAAACUAAUUCUAAAUGUAUAGAUACUCAAUUUCAUAAAAUAUCAUAGAUAAAAAUAUAUUUCUAUUUUACAAAU